Molecule: ribosomal RNA, 433 nt
Filed under: uncultured Anaerovorax sp.
Lineage: Bacteria; Bacillati; Bacillota; Clostridia; Peptostreptococcales; Anaerovoracaceae
Description: bacterial SSU rRNA
Rfam family: Bacterial small subunit ribosomal RNA
Source: RNAcentral
ACGGGAGGCAGCAGUGGAGAAUCUUGCACAAUGGGGGAAACCCUGAUGCAGCAACGCCGCGUGAAGGAAGAAGGCCUUUGGGUCGUAAACUUCUGUUCUAAGGGAAGAUAAUGACGGUACCUUAGGAGCAAGUCCCGGCUAACUACGUGCCAGCAGCCGCGGUAAUACGUAGGGGGCGAGCGUUAUCCGGAAUUAUUGGGCGUAAAGAGUACGUAGGCGGUUUGCUAAGCGCAGGGUUUAAGGCUAAGGCUUAACCAUAGUUCGCCCUGUGAACUGGCAGACUUGAGUGCUGGAGGGGAAAGCGGAAUUCCUAGUGUAGCGGUGAAAUGCGUAGAUAUUAGGAGGAACACCAGUGGCGAAGGCGGCUUUCUGGACAGUAACUGACGCUGAGGUACGAAAGUGUGGGGAGCAAACAGGAUUAGAUACCCUGGUA